UACGAAGGGGGCUAGCGUUGUUCGGAAUCACUGGGCGUAAAGGGCGCGUAGGCGGCUGAUCAAGUCGGGGGUGAAAGCCUGUGGCUCAACCACAGAAUUGCCUUCGAUACUGUUUGGCUUGAGACCGGAAGAGGUAAGUGGAACUGCGAGUGUAGAGGUGAAAUUCGUAGAUAUUCGCAAGAACACCGGUGGCGAAGGCGGCUUUCUGGACGACAACUGACGCUGAGACGCGAAAGCGUGGGGAGCAAACAGG
RNAcentral lists this ribosomal RNA (253 nucleotides) under uncultured bacterium. RNAcentral's name for it is "partial 16S ribosomal RNA". It matches the Rfam family "Bacterial small subunit ribosomal RNA", at positions 524 to 776 of the family's 1533-position model. The record is from RNAcentral.